GUUUGUUUAACUAUGGCAAUAGAAAGUUGUUUGGUUUAGUUGCAUAAAAUAAUUUUAUGUUUUUGUAGCUUUAGCUGUACUACAUGGGAUUAGCAAUUAAUUUUUUAUUAGAAUUCGUGUUUUGUAAGAAUACUUUAAUGAAAGGGGAUAGGACACAGUGCCAGCAUCUGCGGUUAAUCUGUUUUCUUUGCUUUCUUAUAGGUUUAAUUAUACAUUUAUAUAUAAAGUUGGGUGAAAUCUUUUUGGUUUUGUAUUUUAUGUAUAUUUUUAAUAAAUGCUGUAUAUGACAGGGAUUAGAUACCCCAUUAAUGUUGUGUUGUAGUGUUUACCUUAGUUUUAUAACUAAAAUAGUUUGGCAGCGAGUAAAUUCGUUCAGGGGAAGGUGUGUUAUAAAGGAUGAUCCGCCAAAUAAUUAACUUAGUUUAUGUUGGUGUAUAUCUGGUUUGAUAUUAUUGCUUUAAUAGCUUAAUUUGUGUAUAAUAAGUAUUUAAGCCAAGUCUAUGUGCUGCUUAUCUAAGUUUUCAUGCGUUACUUUAAUAAAGUCAAAUUUGUAAUAGUUUGAUAUUUAGGACUUGAUAGUAAUAUAAAUUAAUUAUGUUUGUGUGAAAAUGGUUUAGCUCGGGUACACACCGCCCGUCACCCUCGAUAAUCGUUGAGGUAAGUCGUAACAAGGUAACUUUAAAUGAAUUUGAAGUUAAUUACUAAGAAGGCUUGGUUAGUGGUG
RNAcentral lists this non-coding RNA (724 nucleotides) under Pseudanoplocephala crawfordi. The record is from RNAcentral. Lineage: Eukaryota; Metazoa; Platyhelminthes; Cestoda; Cyclophyllidea; Hymenolepididae.